This 207-nucleotide long non-coding RNA is filed under the name Bos indicus x Bos taurus (hybrid cattle). RNAcentral's name for it is "lncRNA (ENSBIXG00000012882.1)". Lineage: Eukaryota; Metazoa; Chordata; Mammalia; Artiodactyla; Bovidae. The record is from RNAcentral.
GGAACCCUUCCUCUCCAGAGUACCAGCUGCUGCGUGACAACAUCCGACAUCAGCUCCAGUCCCUGUAUCAUGAGGCCUUCUCCAGCUUUGAAGGCAUCGGCGUCCUGCAAUUCAGGCCCGACUCCGCAGCUGUGAAUGCCUCCCUUGUGUUUGGGGGCCACAUCCCGGGCCCCUCUGCCCGUGAAGUCCUCUGGACCCUGUACCACU